UCUUUUAAACUCAUCUGGGCUUGAAGAAGG
RNAcentral lists this non-coding RNA (30 nucleotides) under Rattus norvegicus (Norway rat). The record is from RNAcentral. Lineage: Eukaryota; Metazoa; Chordata; Mammalia; Rodentia; Muridae.